ACUGAAAAGAGCCUGGCUUUGUCCUCUUUUCACCCUCCCUUCAGGUGCUCCUCUUUCCCCAGGGUUGAAGCAUUUUUUGCAUUUCUUGCUUGUGCCUUGAAUCUGCAAAACCACCAGCAAGGGCUGCAUGGGAAGCAUAACUGUGUGCCUCUCAGGAGCACAGAGAACAGGCAUAGCUGGCAUUGUGCUCAACUCUAUUCUUCCUCACGUGAAUGCUUCUUCCAGAAGCCUCUACUACAGAUCCUACACUGAAUGGUGGGGUAGUAAGGUGUGGGAGGGAAUUGGUCUUUGUAGAUGGUGGUGUUCCCCCAGCCCCAUGCAAUAACAAUCCUGGGAGCCUUCCCAGACUCUCCCCUCAGCUAUGCAUCUCUCUUUGGCUUCCACUGAAUCAGCAGUCCCCUGUGCGCUGGGCCCAGCCCCCUUCAUCCUGCCGUUCGUCAUUUCUGAUCCAAUAAAUUACAGCACCGUUAAAAUGCA
This is a long non-coding RNA of Aquila chrysaetos chrysaetos, 477 nucleotides long. RefSeq lists it as uncharacterized. The record is from RefSeq and is a predicted model, not a curated record. The transcript has 2 exons. Lineage: Eukaryota; Metazoa; Chordata; Aves; Accipitriformes; Accipitridae.